GGUUGCGAUCAUACCAGCACUAAUGCACCGGAUCCCAUCAGAACUCUGCAGUUAAGCGUGUUUGGGCGAGAGUAGUACUAGGAUGGGUGACCCCCUGGGAAGUCCUCGUGUUGCAACCC
This 119-nucleotide ribosomal RNA is filed under the name Helianthus annuus (common sunflower). The record is from RNAcentral. Lineage: Eukaryota; Viridiplantae; Streptophyta; Magnoliopsida; Asterales; Asteraceae.